RNAcentral lists this ribosomal RNA (450 nucleotides) under uncultured bacterium. RNAcentral describes it as "partial 16S ribosomal RNA". It matches the Rfam family "Bacterial small subunit ribosomal RNA", at positions 354 to 796 of the family's 1533-position model. The record is from RNAcentral.
GUGGGGAAUUUUGGACAAUGGGCGCAAGCCUGAUCCAGCAAUGCCGCGUGCAGGAAGAAGGCCUUCGGGUUGUAAACUGCUUUUGUACGGAACGAAAAGGCUCUGGUUAAUACCUGGGGCUCAUGACGGUACCGUAAGAAUAAGCACCGGCUAACUACGUGCCAGCAGCCGCGGUAAUACGUAGGGUGCAAGCGUUAAUCGGAAUUACUGGGCGUAAAGCGUGCGCAGGCGGUUUUGUAUGACAGAGGUGAAAUCCCCGGGCUCAACCUGGGAAUUGCCUUUGUGACUGCAAGGCUGGAGUGCGGCAGAGGGGGAUGGAAUUCCGCGUGUAGCAGUGAAAUGCGUAGAUAUGCGGAGGAACACCGAUGGCGAAGGCAAUCCCCUGGGCCUGCACUGACGCUCAUGCACGAAAGCGUGGGGAGCAAACAGGAUUAGAUACCCGUGUAGUCC